GGAAGUAGUUCAAUGGUAGAGCGCAUGCUUAGCACGCACAAUAUCUGGGUUCAAUCCCCAGUACCUCCC
RNAcentral lists this transfer RNA (69 nucleotides) under Camelus bactrianus (Bactrian camel). It matches the Rfam family "tRNA". Rfam says of the family: Transfer RNA (tRNA) molecules are approximately 80 nucleotides in length. Their secondary structure includes four short double-helical elements and three loops (D, anti-codon, and T loops). Further hydrogen bonds mediate the characteristic L-shaped molecular structure. tRNAs have two regions of fundamental functional importance: the anti-codon, which is responsible for specific mRNA codon recognition, and the 3' end, to which the tRNAs corresponding amino acid is attached (by aminoacyl-tRNA synthetases). tRNAs cope with the degeneracy of the genetic code in two manners: having more than one tRNA (with a specific anti-codon) for a particular amino acid; and 'wobble' base-pairing, i.e. permitting non-standard base-pairing at the 3rd anti-codon position. The record is from Rfam by way of RNAcentral. RNAcentral also lists the same sequence under 2 other names. Lineage: Eukaryota; Metazoa; Chordata; Mammalia; Artiodactyla; Camelidae.